GCCGCCGCCGAUCGGCGACCCGCUGACCAACCCGUCCGCCUCCUUCUCCUCCCUCGACGACCUCGCCCACGAGCUCGCGUCCCUCGACGACCUCGCCAGCCGCGGCUCGUGGCGGUCCGUCCUCGACAAGGUCGCCCGCGCCCGGUCCCUCUCCCUCCUCCGGCACCCCCACGACCACCUCGCCUACCUCUCCUACAACGCCCUCGCCCUCGCCAAGCUCCGUCGCUUCGCCGACGCCUC
Molecule: long non-coding RNA, 240 nt
Filed under: Eucalyptus grandis
Lineage: Eukaryota; Viridiplantae; Streptophyta; Magnoliopsida; Myrtales; Myrtaceae
Description: long non-coding RNA (EGRA_LNC005461)
Source: RNAcentral